GGAACCGAGAGAAGAAGCCUUGGCCUACAAGGACUCCCUGUUCCGACUGGAUGGCCAUAGUAAUUAAGGUCUGUUUCCCCCCCAAUAAAAAUAAUAAUAAUGUGAAUGAUAAAGGAACAUGUGCUGCUUUAAAAAAAAAUCAUAUCUGCACAGUUUAGACCUGUCAUUUGCAAACUGCAGUUAAGCCAGAACUAAUCUUUUAAAUGAGGAACCCACUGGCCAUCUCUGCCCUUCGCAGAGCAGUUUUGCAACAUUUUUGAAAUGUUCGUUUGUGAAAGAUAAAUGCCUAUUUACAAACGUGCUGGUUAAGAGAGAGAGAGAGAGAGAACAGUGUUCUCAGUCACACACACCCGGCAGCAGGGAUCUGCAAUUAAAGUGGUUCUGUCCUUUUGAAUGAUGCACCACUGAAUACCAGUUGCGGGGGGGCAGCGGGAGGGAUAUUGUCUUCAAGCCCUGUUUGUGGCCUUCCCAGGGGACAUCCGACUGGCAGAAUGGAUGCUAGACUAGAUGGCCCAUUGGUCUGCUUCAGCAGGGAACUUCUUGCGAAGUCAGUUGUGGAUAUUGUUAUGUACUAAGCUUGGAUCCUAGAACAAUAGGCAAGUCGGAUCCUAGAAUGCAACAACUGAUUGGCCUGCAGGAAAAGACCAAUCAGGCUCCAGGAGAGAAGCAGAAUCAGCCAGUCAGACAGGACUCAUUGUGUAAAUAAUGUAUAUAAAAGCCAGAGGUUUGGGGAGCAAUUCAAUCACUGUUUUACAAGCUGCAAUAAAGAGCAUGAAAUCACUACAGGACUCUGAGUAUAUUUCAGAUACGAUGUGCGAGAGUGGAAUGAAACAAUGGUUUAGAAGGGGCAAAUAUUGAAGAGCAUAUCUGCUUCAUGCAACACAGCCAGUGUUAGGUAAUUUGAGACUUUGGGUUUAAUGGGCUUGCAGCCUUUCUCCUUUAGAUAGUAAAAUGCAUCAUUUCACUGUGGUGAGCUUCCCAACAGCCCCACUGAGUAUGGGACUCGUAGCCUUCAGGAAAUAUCCCCAGAGAUACUUGGUUGGUGCAUCCCUAAUGUCAACAUACAGUCCAAUGGAAGGAAAAUCUGGGUGGAGUCGGGGAGGAAACUAGGCUUGUCACCUAUUCCCUAUUCCAGUAAGUGGCUCCUUAUUUAGUCAUACUUAAAUUUUAACACUAAAUAAGGAACAAGUGGCCAACCUAGCAGAAGCAUCUUCAAUCCAUGGCAUCUCCGGAUAUGGCUGGGAGAGAAUCAACCAUCCAGAGGAACAGGUCCCUGUUUGCAUAGAAAAUAUUGAGCUACAGGGACCAAUGAUCUGACUCUCUAAGAGACAGCCGCCCAUGUUCCUAGAGGGGUUGGUAGGUCUCCGAAGGAAGGAACCUGAAGGGGUGAAAAUACUCUGCAAAUUAUCAGGGCUUCACUUCUGAUAGAGCAGGGCUGCCGUACACCCGGGUUUUCCUGAACAUUUCAAGGGACUUCGGAAAAUUCUGCCCAGAAUUUUUGAUGGGUGAAUCCUGGCUAUGUCCUGGAAAUUCCAGGUGUAUGGCAGCCCUACGCUAUCAGAAGUGCUUUCUUCCCUUCACUCUGUUGCCGCCCCCAAGACACCCUGUAGCCAGUUCUCAGGCAGGGGGAAAGGGCACAGCAGGACUUCCAGUGCAUAGACUUGUAAUUUCUAGAUUCAUGCACAGAGCCCAUUUUUUGUUUCACUUUGGGCAUUAUUUAAACGGAACUGCUUAUUUAAAAGGAAAUGUUGCCUUCUAAGAUAAUCUUCUGGCUUCUUCAGCUUCAACCCAGAUAAUCGUGACUUGGUCUGCCUGCACUUAACUUCCCAAUGGCAUUUCGAAAAUCUGCUUGCUUCUACAGCAUCCAGCUAUAAGAUGAAAGCUGAUUGAGGGGUGAUUUCCAGAUUAGCAGGGUUUCACAUGCGGGGGAGAGAAGUCUAUUGUGAAAUCAUCAUUUCUGCUAGAGAACUGGCAGAAGAUCAGGCACACGAACUGCCCAAUUACAAAAGGACCUAAGCCUUAGGCUUAUUUGGCGUGGGCAGUGAUAUAGCCCAAGCAUUCUCUGGUGACCUAGGCCUCACACCUUGAAUCUGACCCAAUCCUGGGGCCUCAGGGGAGGAAAGCCUCCUGUAUCGUGCAAGAUUGCAUCAGUUCAGAGUAUCUGCCAAGCAGAUCAAGUGACCAUGCUUGGCUUUAACCUGCACAGAUAUGGAUUUGCUGCACGCAGACAAGUGUAAUAAAAUGUAUGGCUUGUUAGGCAGCUCCAAGGGUGGUGCUCAGUUUCAUAUUGAUUCAUGUGAUCUCGUUCUUCAAACAGUGGCGAUUCAGGACAAUCUUUUAAGCAUGUACAGGAUCCAAAGGUUGUUGGACUACAACUCCCAUACUCUCUGACCACUGUUCCUGCUCAUUACAUUUGAUAGGAGUUGGAAUCCAAAAAGCAUUUGGUGGAACCCCCAUCCCAGCUUUAAGAAUUAAGCUUUCUUCAAAGGAAAGGGCAGUCACAGCCAAUGGUGCUUUUGUAAAAUACAAAUAAAUGUAGUGUUUACUGCAGGUUGCAGAAGCAAGCACACAGAUACACCUUGCUUGGUCCAAACUAAAAUCUUGUACCAGCUCUCCAAAUUGAUGUAAAAAUUGGGGUUUGGCUUUUGCUGCCCAACUCCCCAUGGGACUCUGAGUCCCCUAGGUCCAUGAUCGGUCAGAGAAAAAUGGAUGGAGACUGGAUCCAGUGGAAAGCAAGGCAGAUAUUUAUUUUUCUGUUGCAACAGUGUUCCCUCCCCUCCUUCCAAGGAGGGAGAGACCCUGAACAAAAGUGUGCAGGAACCUUUAAAGACUUUUGACAUUGCCCAACCCCCUUAGCCAAAGACCACCCCAAAAUCAUCAUUCAUACAUCAUAGGAGGUGGUCUGCAGCAGAAAUCCUGUCUGCCAGGAUACCUGAUAAUGCUCGCUGAUUACCUGGGCAGCUUGGCCAUUCUUUUGUGAUGGUUAAUGAUGUCCUGAAUGCAUCCCACAGGCUCACCCUAUUCAUACACAAAGACGCCCCUAAGACAGGAUUUGUAGAUGGAAAAGAAAAAGGGAAGGCUUUCCCCAUUUGCCUCCCUUACUGCAGAGGAAUAUUUGAGAUCAUUAGGAGAGUCAAAAUGGCUUCAGGAUCACUCUCCUGUACUAUUUCAGACUCAUGGUUUAUAUAUUUAGGUAUGUGAGUAUUUAUGAAUAUUUAUUAUUUAUUUGAGACCUUAGAAUUCUUAUCCAUAUCCAAAAUCUGCUGCUUUUCGGCUCUACUUGCACACACUUUCAUGCAAAGCUAGUUUGAGAUCUCUAUCCCACCUCCAGAAAGUGGGUGUGACAUGCAUUUCAGUUGUUUGGAACCACCACUGAUCCUUUAGUGCCUGUGGCCCCCAUCAACAAACUGACUUUACAGAGGCAGAGAUAUUUUGCAUAAAGAAGCCUGAAGAGGACAGCUGCUUUAACAGCAUCCCGGUCUUUGUUCCCACUACUGAUGUCGCUCUCCAGAUGGCUAUUCCUAUUUCUCCCCACCCCUCUUUAUAUUUCUUUUGUUGCUGUUGUGCCAUCACUAGACUCUGCCUCCCUCCACUUUGAGGGGACCCUUUCUCAGAGCAAGGCAUCCUGGGUGAGGUGUCAGGAAGAGGACCUGCACUGUGACCACGUUGCCACAGUGGUCCCGCCACAGAGCUACAAUUCUCAGAUUGGUUUAACAAGCAAACCCUCUUCACUGGGAACUUUGGGAACUGUACCUCGGUAAUGGGAACAGGGGUCUGCUAACAACUUUCAGUACUCUUGGCAAACUCCCUGAAUUCUUUUGGGAAAGCCAUGGUCGUCUAAAGUGGUAACAUGGUGCUUUAAGUGGACCAUGUGAAUGUAGCCUCUGUGGAUCAAGACUGCCCUCUAGGCUUCAAUACAGAGUUGAGUACUGACCUCAGAAACCCAUGGAGUCAUUCCAGGCCUGACCUUCAAGCCCUCUGUGACCCUGUCUUUUGCUUCUAGCCCUUGAUCCCCAUUUGCAAGACACUUCUCCCCAGUCCCAGCUCUGCUUUUAAGUUAGACCAGCCUUUUGUCUGGUCCAUCAGGGCAGAUCUUCUCAUGAUUACGGCCUCCUUUCCAGAAAACAAUUUCUAAGAAUCUAGACCCAAGCAGUGCCUCUCUCUCUCUCCGCCUCCCCCAACACUCUGUCUCUGGAAUUGCCCUGCUGACCACAAGAAGUCCAUUGUCCUGGCCAAAUGCAUCCGAUAACAGUUAAUCUGGCAUCUCACUCUCUACUAAUGGCAAGCGGCCAAGAUUCUCGCAACAGCAGAGGAGGAGGUCUUGUCCGUAGAACACUGGCCAUCACUCUGCAGGGGAAGAAUUCCAGAUAUGAGAGUUUGGUCCAGAGCCAUAAUUAGUCAGAUUGCAACUCAGCAGAAAAUGGGCAUCUUGGCGGGCCGGGGAGUGUUUACUUGGUAUAUUCAGCUAAAUGGGGAAAGGAGGAGGGUUUGAAACUGCAGUCAGAAAUCUGAAGCAGGGUCAAAUAUUUCUCUCUCUCUUUCUCUUUUCCUCUGUAAAGAAAAGGCAAGUGAGGUGACUUCCCAAUCUGCACACAUGAAGACAGAGCCAAGACGACAGCCGUGAUCCUUCCUCAGCUUUUCUGGAGCUUAAUUCUCUCCAUGCUCGGAUUCUCACAUUUCAGGGAGACUUUUAUUUGAAUAUCUCCAGGGCGGGCUGGCUAACCCUCAGCUCUGAACCCUCACUCUCGACAGCUUGUUUCUCUUAUUGAACUAUCUGCCAGCUUCCUGGAAAUCCUCUCUGGGAGAACACUGUGUGAAGUAAAUGAGAGGAGACCUGGCAAAGAGCUUUUGGAAAGCCCCGAAUUAAGGACAUAAGAUGAGCCUGCUAGAUCAAGCCAGUGGUCCAUUUCACACAGCAUCCUGUUCGCACAGCAGCAAACAAGAUGCCUAUGGGAAGCCGGCAAAGUGGACCUGAUUGCACCAACAUUCUGGCCACCUAUGAUUCUGAGCAACUGGUAUUCAGAAGUAUAUCGCCUCUGAUAGUAGAGGCAGAACAUGGCCUUUGUGGCUAGUAGUCACCAGUAGCCUUGUCCUUGACAAAGUUGUCUAACCCUCUAUUAAAUCCAUCCAAGUUAGUGGCUAUUGUUGCCUCCCCUGGGAGUGUGUUCCACAGUUUCACUAUGUUCAGG
This 5189-nucleotide long non-coding RNA is filed under the name Podarcis lilfordi (Lilford's wall lizard). The record is from RNAcentral. Lineage: Eukaryota; Metazoa; Chordata; Lepidosauria; Squamata; Lacertidae.